Molecule: ribosomal RNA, 497 nt
Filed under: uncultured bacterium
Lineage: Bacteria
Description: partial 16S ribosomal RNA
Rfam family: Bacterial small subunit ribosomal RNA
Source: RNAcentral
GAUGAACGCUGGCGGCGUGCCUAAUACAUGCAAGUCGAGCGAACAGACGAUGAGUUUGUUCCUUUGUCGUUUGCGGCAGACGGGUGAGAAACACGUGUAAAACCUCCUUAUAAGACUGGGAAAAUUUCGGGACACCGGAGAUAAUACCGGAUAAUAUCUUGAACCGCAUGGUUGAUUAGUAAAAGUCGGCUUUGCUGUCAGGUAUAGAUGCAUAUGCGCUGCAUUAGCUAGUAGGUAAGGUAAAGGCCUUUCAAGGCAACUAUGCGUAACCGAGCGGGGAGAGGGGUAGGCCACACUGGAACUUAGACACGGUCCUGAGUCCUACGGGAGGCAGCAGUAUCGAAUGGUCCGCAGUGGGCGAGAACUUGGCGGAACAACGCGGCGUGAGUGGUGGAAGUCUUCGGAUCGUGAAACUCUGUUAUGAGGUGAGAACAACUGUCGAAGGAACUAUGCACGUCUUGACGGUACCGAGUCAGAAAGCCACGGCUAACUACGUG